Molecule: ribosomal RNA, 462 nt
Filed under: uncultured bacterium
Lineage: Bacteria
Description: partial 16S ribosomal RNA
Rfam family: Bacterial small subunit ribosomal RNA
Source: RNAcentral
GACGAACGCUGGCGGCGUGCUUAACACAUGCAAGUCGAACGGAAAGGCCCCUCGGGGUACUCGAGUGGCGAACGGGUGAGUAACACGUGGGUGAUCUGCCCUGCACUUUGGGAUAAGCCUGGGAAACUGGGUCUAAUACCGAAUAGGACCACGCGCUUCAUGGUGUGUGGUGGAAAGCUUUUGCGGUGUGGGAUGGGCCCGCGGCCUAUCAGCUUGUUGGUGGGGUAAUGGCCUACCAAGGCGACGACGGGUAGCCGGCCUGAGAGGGUGACCGGCCACACUGGGACUGAGAUACGGCCCAGACUCCUACGGGAGGCAGCAGUGGGGAAUAUUGCACAAUGGGCGCAAGCCUGAUGCAGCGACGCCGCGUGAGGGAUGACGGCCUUCGGGUUGUAAACCUCUUUCAAUAGGGACGAAGCGAAAGUGACGGUACCUAUAGAAGAAGCACCGGCCAACUACGUG